Molecule: ribosomal RNA, 376 nt
Filed under: uncultured bacterium
Lineage: Bacteria
Description: bacterial SSU rRNA
Rfam family: Bacterial small subunit ribosomal RNA
Source: RNAcentral
UACGUAGGGGGCGAGCGUUGUCCGGAAUGAUUGGGCGUAAAGGGCGCGUAGGCGGCCAUUUAAGUCUGGAGUGAAAGUCCUGCUUUUAAGGUGGGAAUUGCUUUGGAAACUGGAUGGCUUGAGUGCAGGAGAGGUUAUCGGAAUUCCCGGUGUAGCGGUGAAAUGCGUAGAGAUCGGGAGGAACACCAGUGGCGAAGGCGGGUAACUGGACUGCAACUGACGCUGAGGCGCGAAAGUGUGGGGAGCAAACAGGAUUAGAUACCCUGGUAGUCCACACUGUAAACGAUGAAUGCUAGGUGUAGGGGGUAUCGACCCCUUCUGUGCCGGAGUAAACACAAUAAGCAUUCCGCCUGGGGAGUACGGCCGCAAGGUUGAA